RNAcentral lists this ribosomal RNA (323 nucleotides) under uncultured Chloroflexota bacterium. RNAcentral's name for it is "bacterial SSU rRNA". It matches the Rfam family "Bacterial small subunit ribosomal RNA", at positions 28 to 351 of the family's 1533-position model. Lineage: Bacteria; Bacillati; Chloroflexota. The record is from RNAcentral.
GAUGAACGCUGGCGGCGUGCUUAAUACAUGCAAGUCGAACGGAGACUGUAGCAAUACUGUCUUAGUGGCGAACGGGUGAGUAACGCGUUGGUGACCUGCCCCGAAGAGGGGGAUAACAGUCCGAAAGGAUUGCUAAUACCCCAUGUGGUCAUUUGGAUUAGAUGCCUUAUGACUAAACGGAUUUAUUCGCUUCGGGAGGGCCUGCGUCCCAUCAGCUUGUUGGUAAGGUAACGGCUUACCAAGGCGAUGACGGGUAGGGGACCUGAGAGGGUCGACCCCCCACAAUGGAACUGAAACACGGUCCAUACACCUACGGGUGGCAG